RNAcentral lists this ribosomal RNA (255 nucleotides) under uncultured bacterium. RNAcentral's name for it is "partial 16S ribosomal RNA". It matches the Rfam family "Bacterial small subunit ribosomal RNA", at positions 524 to 776 of the family's 1533-position model. The record is from RNAcentral.
UACGUAGGGUGCGAGCGUUGUCCGGAUUUAUUGGGCGUAAAGAGCGUGUAGGCGGUUUGGUAGGUCCGCUGUGAAAACUCGAGGCUCAACCUCGAGACGCCGGUGGAAACCAUCAGACUAGAGUCCGGAAGAGGAGAGUGGAAUUCCUGGUGUAGCGGUGAAAUGCGCAGAUAUCAGGAGGAACACCGGUGGCGAAGGCGGGUCUCUGGGGCCACUACUGACGCUGAGGAGCGAAAGCGUGGGGGAGCGAACAGG